Molecule: ribosomal RNA, 253 nt
Filed under: uncultured bacterium
Lineage: Bacteria
Description: partial 16S ribosomal RNA
Rfam family: Bacterial small subunit ribosomal RNA
Source: RNAcentral
UACGUAGGGUCCGAGCGUUGUCCGGAAUUACUGGGCGUAAAGAGCUCGUAGGUGGUUUGUCGCGUUGUUCGUGAAAACUCACAGCUUAACUGUGGGCGUGCGGGCGAUACGGGCAGACUUGAGUACUGCAGGGGAGACUGGAAUUCCUGGUGUAGCGGUGAAAUGCGCAGAUAUCAGGAGGAACACCGAUGGCGAAGGCAGGUCUCUGGGCAUUAACUGACGCUGAGGAGCGAAAGCAUGGGGAGCGAACAGG